CAUGUAAGUCGUACAAGGUAGCCGUUAAGCUUGCUCUCGGGUGACGAGCGGCGGACGGGUGAGUAAUGUCUGGGAAACUGCCUGAUGGAGGGGGAUAACUACUGGAAACGGUAGCUAAUACCGCAUAACGUCGCAAGACCAAAGUGGGGGACCUUCGGGCCUCAUGCCAUCAGAUGUGCCCAGAUGGGAUUAGCUAGUAGGUGGGGUAACGGCUCACCUAGGCGACGAUCCCUAGCUGGUCUGAGAGGAUGACCAGCCACACUGGAACUGAGACACGGUCCAGACUCCUACGGGCAGGCAGCAGUGGGGAAUAUUGCACAAUGGGCGCAAGCCUGAUGCAGCCCAUGCCGCGUGUGUGAAGAAGGCCUUCGGGUUGUAAAGCACUUUCAGCGGGGAGGAAGGCGAUAAGGUUAAUAACCUUGUCGAUUGACGUUACCCGCAGAAGAAGCACCGGCUAACUCCGUGCCAGCAGCCGCGGUAAUACGGAGGGUGCAAGCGUUAAUCGGAAUUACUGGGCGUAAAGCGCACGCAGGCGGUCUGUCAAGUCGGAUGUGAAAUCCCCGGGCUCAACCUGGGAACUGCAUUCGAAACUGGCAGGCUAGAGUCUUGUAGAGGGGGGUAGAAUUCCAGGUGUAGCGGUGAAAUGCGUAGAGAUCUGGAGGAAUACCGGUGGCGAAGGCGGCCCCCUGGACAAAGACUGACGCUCAGGUGCGAAAGCGUGGGGAGCAAACAGGAUUAGAUACCCUGGUAGUCCACGCCGUAAACGAUGUCGAUUUGGAGGUUGUGCCCCUUGAGGCGUGGCUUCCGGAGCUAACGCGUUUAAAUCGACCGCCUGGGGGAGUACGGCCGCCAGGGUUAAAAACUCAAAUGAAAUUGACGGGGGGCCCGCACAAGCGGGGGAAGCAUGUUGGUUUUAAUUUCGAUGGCAACGCGAAAAAACCUUUACCUGGGUCUUGGACAUUCCACAGAAACUUUUCCAGAAAAUGGGAUUGGGUGGCCUUUC
RNAcentral lists this ribosomal RNA (1003 nucleotides) under Rhizobium leguminosarum. RNAcentral describes it as "bacterial SSU rRNA". It matches the Rfam family "Bacterial small subunit ribosomal RNA", at positions 54 to 1044 of the family's 1533-position model. The record is from RNAcentral. Lineage: Bacteria; Pseudomonadati; Pseudomonadota; Alphaproteobacteria; Hyphomicrobiales; Rhizobiaceae.